RNAcentral lists this long non-coding RNA (1446 nucleotides) under Pan troglodytes (chimpanzee). RNAcentral's name for it is "lncRNA (ENSPTRG00000053253.1)". Lineage: Eukaryota; Metazoa; Chordata; Mammalia; Primates; Hominidae. The record is from RNAcentral.
CUUCACAUUCAGUUUAAACGUUGUUCCUUUACAGAGGCUUCCAGAGAAAUGGGUGCUGCCUAUAAUUCCCCAUCUUAGCCCCCAUUUUCUUCAAAACUCUGCACCCUUUGUCUGACCUCCGGUGUGACCCUGUUCACCUGCUUAGUUUUUAUCUCACAUUAGAAUUGAAGUUUGGCUGGGGCUGGGCAGUGGUUGUCCUGUCCAAUCCACGUCUAUGGCACCUCACAAGGAUCAUUUUGAGACUCUGACGAAAGCUAAGAACUUCCUAGAGAAAUGCGCACACAUUUCUAGAUGUAACAGCAGCAGUGUCGUGGCUCUCCCGGGCAGUGACCACGUGAAGAACCACCACCACCCUGGAAGGUCUUUUCCAGCAAGACUGAAGACGGGCUGGGUACAGAAAUUGUUUUGCUCAGAGAAACUGUAAACUACCUAAGGUGGAAAGAACUUCAUUUUUUCUUUCUUUUUUUUUUUUUGACAGAGUCUCGCUCUGUCGCCCAGGAUGGAGUGCAGUGGCGCGAUCUCGGCUCACUACAAGCUCCGCCUCCCGGGUUCGCACCAUUCUCCGGCCUCAGCCUUCCGAGUAGCUGGGACUACAGGCGCCCGCCACCACGCCCGGCUAAUUUUUUGUAUUUUUAGAAGAGGUGGGGUUUCACCGUGUUAGACAGGAUGGUCUCGAUCUGCUGACCUCGUGAUCCACCUGCCUCGGCCUCCCGAAGUGCUGGGAUUACAGGCGUGAGCCACUGCGCCCAGCCAAGAACUUCAUUUUCUAGAGCAGAAGCCAGAGUGACAGAAAACACAUUUUUCCAUUUUUAGGGGAGGGCCCUUUGGCUGCUCAUGGAGAUGGUCAGAGGUACAGGAGGGACUUUGGCCGGUGUGCACUGAGGUGGUAACUGGGACACUAAGAACUGUGUGACCUACUCAGCGUGGAAAGGUACCAGGAAGGCUCCACAGGCCGCAGCGUCUCAGGGACAGCUGCCGUGAGAGGACCCCAUGACCCCACUGCAGCUGCUGUGGGCUGGAUCAUCAGUUCACCUGGAUCACCGGACCCAAGGGAUGAAGAAAACGGUGCAGAGAGGUCCUGGUGUCCCCAGACUGGCUGAUAGCAGGUCACUGUUUUUUUGUUGUUGUUGUUGUCGUUGUUGUUGUGUUAUUAUUAAUUUUUAUUUUUUUGAGAUGGAGUCUCGCUCUCAUUGUCCAGGCUGGAGUGCAAUGGCGCGAUCUGGGCUCACUGCAACCUCUGCCUCCCGGCUUCAAGCAAUUCUCCUGCCUCAGCAUCCCAAAUAGCUGGGACUACAGGUACCCACCACCACGCCUGGCUAAUUUUUGUAUUUUUAGUAGAGACAGGGUUUCACCAUGUUGGCCAGGCUGGUCUCAAACUCAGGUGAUCUGCCCACCUUGGUCUCCCAAAGUGCUGGGGUUACAGGUAAGCAGGUCACUGUUAAGAGU